This 550-nucleotide ribosomal RNA is filed under the name uncultured Funneliformis. RNAcentral describes it as "SSU rRNA". It matches the Rfam family "Eukaryotic small subunit ribosomal RNA", at positions 548 to 1098 of the family's 1831-position model. The record is from RNAcentral. Lineage: Eukaryota; Fungi; Glomeromycota; Glomeromycetes; Glomerales; Glomeraceae.
UUGGAGGGCAAGUCUGGUGCCAGCAGCCGCGGUAAUUCCAGCUCCAAUAGCGUAUAUUAAAGUUGUUGCAGUUAAAAAGCUCGUAGUUGAAUUUCGGGAUCAAUGUUUCGGUCGUGCCGUUGGUAUGUACUGAUAUUAUUGAUUUCUCACCUUCUAAAGAACCGUAAUGCCAUUAAUUUGGUGUCACGGGGAAUUAGGACUGUUACCUUGAAAAAAUUAGAGUGUUUAAAGCAGGCUCACGCUUGAAUACAUUAGCAUGGAAUAAUGAAAUAGGACAUCCGAUUCUAUUUUGUUGGUUUCUAGGAUCGAUGUAAUGAUUAAUAGGGAUAGUUGGGGGCAUUAGUAUUCAAUUGUCAGAGGUGAAAUUCUUGGAUUUAUUGAAGACUAACUACUGCGAAAGCAUUUGCCAAGGAUGUUUUCAUUAAUCAAGAACGAAAGUUAGGGGAUCGAAGACGAUCAGAUACCGUCGUAGUCUUAACCAUAAACUAUGCCGACUAGGGAUCGGAUGAUGUUAAUUUUUUAAUGACUCAUUCGGCGCCUUACGGGAAAC